Molecule: ribosomal RNA, 164 nt
Filed under: Bidens pilosa (bur-marigold)
Lineage: Eukaryota; Viridiplantae; Streptophyta; Magnoliopsida; Asterales; Asteraceae
Also listed under: 2 other names
Description: 5.8S ribosomal RNA
Rfam family: 5.8S ribosomal RNA
About the family: 5.8S ribosomal RNA (5.8S rRNA) is a component of the large subunit of the eukaryotic ribosome. It is transcribed by RNA polymerase I as part of the 45S precursor that also contains 18S and 28S rRNA. Functionally, it is thought that 5.8S rRNA may be involved in ribosome translocation.
Source: RNAcentral
UAAACGACUCUCGGCAACGGAUAUCUCGGCUCACGCAUCGAUGAAGAACGUAGCAAAAUGCGAUACUUGGUGUGAAUUGCAGAAUCCCGUGAACCAUCGAGUUUUUGAACGCAAGUUGCGCCCGAAGCCUUUUGGCCAAGGGCACGUCUGCCUGGGCGUCACGC